CAGAGUUGCAAAACUCCCUAAACCAUCGCGAACGUACCCCGUACAGUUGCUUCGGCGCGGCGGCUCCCCGGAGCCCUCGGCCCUCACGGGCGCCCGCCGGAGUGACCAUACCCCAAACUAUUUAUAUUCUAGGCCUCUCUGAGUAAUACUAUAAUAAGUAA
Molecule: unclassified non-coding RNA, 161 nt
Filed under: uncultured Podospora
Lineage: Eukaryota; Fungi; Ascomycota; Sordariomycetes; Sordariales; Lasiosphaeriaceae
Description: sequence contains ITS1
Source: RNAcentral